This 881-nucleotide ribosomal RNA is filed under the name Leuconostoc mesenteroides subsp. mesenteroides. RNAcentral's name for it is "bacterial SSU rRNA". It matches the Rfam family "Bacterial small subunit ribosomal RNA", at positions 60 to 922 of the family's 1533-position model. The record is from RNAcentral. Lineage: Bacteria; Bacillati; Bacillota; Bacilli; Lactobacillales; Lactobacillaceae.
AGUCGAACGCACAGCGAAAGGUGCUUGCACCUUUCAAGUGAGUGGCGAACGGGUGAGUAACACGUGGACAACCUGCCUCAAGGCUGGGGAUAACAUUUGGAAACAGAUGCUAAUACCGAAUAAAACUUAGUGUCGCAUGACAAAAAGUUAAAAGGCGCUUCGGCGUCACCUAGAGAUGGAUCCGCGGUGCAUUAGUUAGUUGGUGGGGUAAAGGCCUACCAAGACAAUGAUGCAUAGCCGAGUUGAGAGACUGAUCGGCCACAUUGGGACUGAGACACGGCCCAAACUCCUACGGGAGGCUGCAGUAGGGAAUCUUCCACAAUGGGCGAAAGCCUGAUGGAGCAACGCCGCGUGUGUGAUGAAGGCUUUCGGGUCGUAAAGCACUGUUGUAUGGGAAGAACAGCUAGAAUAGGAAAUGAUUUUAGUUUGACGGUACCAUACCAGAAAGGGACGGCUAAAUACGUGCCAGCAGCCGCGGUAAUACGUAUGUCCCGAGCGUUAUCCGGAUUUAUUGGGCGUAAAGCGAGCGCAGACGGUUUAUUAAGUCUGAUGUGAAAGCCCGGAGCUCAACUCCGGAAUGGCAUUGGAAACUGGUUAACUUGAGUGCAGUAGAGGUAAGUGGAACUCCAUGUGUAGCGGUGGAAUGCGUAGAUAUAUGGAAGAACACCAGUGGCGAAGGCGGCUUACUGGACUGCAACUGACGUUGAGGCUCGAAAGUGUGGGUAGCAAACAGGAUUAGAUACCCUGGUAGUCCACACCGUAAACGAUGAACACUAGGUGUUAGGAGGUUUCCGCCUCUUAGUGCCGAAGCUAACGCAUUAAGUGUUCCGCCUGGGGAGUACGACCGCAAGGUUGAAACUCAAAGGAAUUGACGGGGACCC